Molecule: long non-coding RNA, 569 nt
Organism: Homo sapiens (human)
Lineage: Eukaryota; Metazoa; Chordata; Mammalia; Primates; Hominidae
Product: long intergenic non-protein coding RNA 970
Source: Ensembl
GAGAGAGGGAGGGAGGAGGAAGGGAGAGAGGGAAGCAGGGAGGGAGAGAGAACAGGAGAAGAAGGAGGAGGUACAGAAGGACUUGGUGUGCUAUUAUGCACAUUUCACAGAUGGCACAGAGUGGGGAAGUCAGUGACCCAAGGUGGCAAGGAGAUGGGAUUCAUUGCUGAUGAUUUUCUGGAUACCAAGAAGAGAUUCAAGCCAGAUAAGGAGACUGAAGCAUCUAGAGUUGGAGUAAUUUCCACAAGAUCACAGAGGCAAGAUUUCACUCUGUCACCCAGACUGGAGUGCAGUGGCACAAACAUAGCUCACUGAAGCCUCAAACUCCUGGGCUCAAGAGAUCCUUCUGCUUCAGCCUCCUGAGUAGCUGGGACUUCAGAAUCCCAGUCCUCUCUCUCUCACUGACCCCGAAGAUAAGCAUUGGAAAGGGGAGCUUUGGGGAAAUGAAUCUGCCCUGUCAUCUGCGUAUAGAGCUAAUCUUAAAUCCCAACUGCCAAAUGGAUCCUGAGGUGUCAGAAACUCUCCCGAGAUAAGGGGGCUUCUAGCAACCAUCUGCAUUCUGGACCCAG